This 253-nucleotide ribosomal RNA is filed under the name uncultured bacterium. RNAcentral's name for it is "partial 16S ribosomal RNA". It matches the Rfam family "Bacterial small subunit ribosomal RNA", at positions 524 to 776 of the family's 1533-position model. The record is from RNAcentral.
UACGGGGGGGGCAAGCGUUGUUCGGAAUUACUGGGCGUAAAGGGCUCGUAGGCGGCCAACUAAGUCAGACGUGAAAUCCCUCGGCUUAACCGGGGAACUGCGUCUGAUACUGGAUGGCUUGAGUUUGGGAGAGGGAUGCGGAAUUCCAGGUGUAGCGGUGAAAUGCGUAGAUAUCUGGAGGAACACCGGUGGCGAAGGCGGCAUCCUGGACCGACACUGACGCUGAGACGCGAAAGCGUGGGGAGCAAACAGG